RNAcentral lists this transfer RNA (70 nucleotides) under Abax parallelepipedus. Its description in RNAcentral is "tRNA-Met". It matches the Rfam family "tRNA". From Rfam's summary of the family: Transfer RNA (tRNA) molecules are approximately 80 nucleotides in length. Their secondary structure includes four short double-helical elements and three loops (D, anti-codon, and T loops). The record is from RNAcentral. Lineage: Eukaryota; Metazoa; Arthropoda; Insecta; Coleoptera; Carabidae.
AAAAAGAUAAGCUAAUCUAAGCUUUUAGGCUCAUACCCUAAAUAUAAAGGCUAUAAUCCUUUUCUUCUUA